GAAGACCAAGUGGUCAGCUUGGUAAUAAGCUACCUACAAAAAUUUGCAAUAAAAAACAGCCAAAGGUUAGCAACAAUUUACCAACCAUAAAAGUUCAGUUAGAGAGAGAGAGAGAGAGAGAGAGAGAGAGAGGAGGAAAUCAAAAGGCUUCCAUUAUAUAGAAUUCUACAGGAUUCUGUUUAUCCUUGUUGCCUUUUUUCUACCCUGACUAGCAGGAGAACAGAGAAAUAGAUGUAACAUUAUUUUGGAACUGAAAGGAAGCCUCUCCACAUUUGAAUUUUCCAUACGAAAUUCCUGCAGACUUCAAGUUUCGAAAUGGGGAUGGGUAAACUACCAAAGGCUGUGGCUGCACCGUGCAUGCGUUUUGUAAUACUCUGUACUUGAGGCCCCUCACUGUCCGUUUCUUCACACCUGCUACAUUCAGUUUGAGGACAUUUCUGAAACACAGGAUGUGAUCUUUUCUUAUUUAUGGGGCAUUUGUGAAUUAUUUGUAAUAUCCCGUCAUAUGCGUAUAUUUGCUUCCUUCUUGUUGGGCAGCUGACGUGGCUGUCUACAAAUAUGUCACGAUUUGAACCACAAAAACAGAACGAAUUAUCUAGAAGUAGCACCACCAUCUACGCAGAGCCGAGCUGGAUUUUUCAUGAUGUGAUCUCACAGUUACUUCCACAAGAGUUGAGACAGAUGGUACGCCUAACAUCAAUUAUAUAGACGACGCUAUGGCGGUGGUGAACGUCUGAGUACCGAUGGAGGACUAUGAGACAGAUGGUACGCCUAACAUCAAUUAUAUAGACGACGCUAUGGCGGUGGUGAACGUCUGAGUACCGAUGGAGGACUACGAGAUGGAGGGUCUGGUCGCUGAAGCACCAGACUGUUGCAGAGAGUAUGAGAUGACUGUAACACGAGGAACUUCUCCUUGUGCUUAUAAUUUUCUUAUAUGUAAGUCUUUGAAAGAUGAGUGAUGUUGUUUUUCUUCCAUGAUAAAGCUUGCAUUCUAAUACGAUGUGACUUGCGGUUUGUUCCUCUGUUCUGUUUCGGAAGGAGAUUUAAAAAGUAGAAAAGCGUAAACGAUUUGGCAUGCUGAAGCCAAACAAGGGAACGAAGGUUUGCCUCCUCUGGAUGUGCAACAACAUAGCCAUUGGUUUUUUAUUUAGGGGUAAACCAAGCUUUAUUACUCAACUGGAAAGUUUACAUAGAUACUAAAAGGGUCAUGGGGAGCCCCCAGGUCACAAAUGGCGACACUGGUAUAAAGAACUACAAAACUUUGCUACACUGUGAGCAUUUCCAUUCACCGCCCUGCCUUCAAACACAAACUCACAUAGUUCAAACUCCGCAGCUCGAGCUUUAAUUUCUUUGAUGGUUACUCCAUAUCUUCCCCCAGUUGUCGGCGUUCUGAGAACGGGGGUCCCCAGACUUGCCUGCCCGCGGCCCGCUGCGUGGCUAAGCCAGCAGGCUGUACGACCCAUCAUCACCAACAAAGCAUCCAAGACCCUCGCGAGGGUCCAAGCCUUGCGAGGCGGACGACACAAGACCUCCUCGGGAGUGGCCUAGCUAGGCAGGCUCACGAGGAGCGGAGAUAUCAAGGCGGGGCAAACCUCACGAGACCCUCGUGACGUGAGCCAUGACGCACGACACCAGGCGGGCGCCAGCGCGUGCAGCGUCCUUGUUUCCUUUUCGGUGAAAAGGAGGCUAGCGCAGGCGAAGAGUACCGAGGCAUCAGGCAAAGGUUGCUAUAUUCGUGCAACGAGACCAAGACCAGGAGGACGGCAAGACGGAGGUCAUCAUGGAGCCCAAGACGGCGUCACCACAGAGCUUUUCGCAGGCGAAGACCACUUUUGUCAGGAUAGCUUGUACUAGCUGCCCCCCUUCGAAUUAGCCCGCCAUUGUUGGAUCCCUUCCCGCUCAAUAUUUUGGGAAGAGGACCAGGGCCAAUAUAAAUAGGACUAGCCACCACCUUAGUAACGGGCGGAUCAUUCAGACCAUCCAUACACACAAGCUCACCGAGCUCAAGAACACCUCAACCUCAGGAGGCUGUUCUUUCCUUGUACUGUUCAUCAUCAACCCUAGAGGCAAUCCACCACCACCACACUGGAGUAGGGUAUUACACCACAACGGUGGCCCGAACCAGUAUAAACCUCGUGUCUUUCUGUGUUGCGAGUUCGUCGAGUUCGUCCGCAAGAUCUUAGCGAGCUAGAGCAUAGAUCGGUGUGAGGAAAAGACCUCGCGCACACCCCAGUGUUCGAACCUUAAGGGUUUGCCAGAACCCCACAUCCGACACCAGUGCCUUCUUUUAUCUCUGAGACAAUCGAUUUGCGGUCGCAUGAAACAACAAUUUUUUUGCAAAGAAAGAUCAAGUGCCAGAGCCAAGGCCUCUCUACAGGUGAGAGCCUCUAGUGUUGCUGGGCCAAUAAUUCCAGGAAAAACCAUGGCGGACGAGCCUAAUUUUUUUUCACAUAUGAUCCUUGCACACAGCUGCAGAUGCUCCCCUAUUGCUGUUCCUUCAUAAUCCACCAUCAACUUGGAUUUUUGCUGCUCCCAAGGGGGGUCGAAUCCACGCUUUCCUACGGCCUGAAUGAACAUGACCUCUUGCUAUGCUAAUUACCUGGUUUCUGCAUGGGGCUUUAACCAGGUCCGACUCUGAGAUAAAGGUAUGUACAAAGGAGUAUGUCGCGUGGGGGCUCUGGGUGACUCCUUCAUGAAUCAACUUUCGUCUAGCUGUCCAAAUAGCCCAUAAUGUCACCACCAGCUUGAUUAGACUCGCAUGUGGUAGUGUCUCAAUCAUAACAAAUAUCCACUGUUUUGUGUUUGGCACGCGAGUUACCUGAAGAUGGUGCAAAAUUUCUGCAUCCCCAGAGCCCAUACACACCGAGCCGCUGUGCAUUCUAGGAGUGAAUGACACCAUGAGUCCGGGGCACUGCAUAACUGGCAACUAUCAUCAUCAGACAUAUGUCUCAUGUGGCGCACAUCUUCUGUUGGGAUCGAGCAUUUGGCCAAUCUCCACAAAAAGGUCUUAACAUUCCCUGGUACUUUGAACAGACCAUGGCGAUGUCCCGGCUUUUGCUUCAGCUUCGUGGUUAGAUCCGCCAGUGUUUCCCUCAAGCCAAUCUUCUCACCGUUUCUUCGUGUCAACAAACAUUCUAUAUGCAAACCACACCGUAAAACUUCCAUUUUGUCUCAAAAUUCCAUGCUCAAAAGUCACUCUUAUUACGUGGGCACAAUGGAAUAGAUUGUAUGGGAUUAGCAUCGACCGCUACAAACACUUGAUUUAUGAGUUCCUGUUUCCAACUUGCGCUUGUGCUAUCAAUCAGAUCCUUUACCAGUGUUGGUGGAUCAACCACCAGGCAAGCUACCGGCCUCAUUGUCACACUUCGGGGGAUCCAAUUAUGUGUACAGAUCCUCGCGGUAGAUACAUCUCCAAUCCUUUUGAUCAGUCCUUCGGCAAGCACAUCUCUCCCCUCAAGAACCGCCCGCGAAAUUUGGGAGGGAUGGCUGCCCAACUCAGCGGUCAAGAUAUACCUAUCUCGAAAGUAACCCACCUUCAACAAUCUACCACAUAGUGAAUCAGGGUUUUGCAAUAGUCUCCAUGAUUGGCGUGCCAACGAUGCUAGAUUGAACAAUUCAAAAUCUCGGAAGCCCAAUCCGCCCAUAAACUUUGGCUGAGUCAUUGAUUUCCAUGAAACCCAGCUGGGCUUCUGUUUACCUUCUUUGCUUCCCCACCAGAACUGCCUUAUCAGUUUAUUCAAUCCACUCUUUUACCUUGUUCCAAAGCCUAUCUUUGAUAUAUUUAAACGCCCCAAACUUUGAAGUACCUAUGUCAGAAGGCAUACCUAGGUACUUGUCAUUCAAAGUUUCGGUGGGAACAUGCAGAAUACCCUUGACUUCCUCUUUGAUAUUCGUUGGGCACCCUUUGCUAAAAAAUAUUGAUGACUUAGCUGGAUUUACUUUCUGUCAUGAUGCAUUGCAGCAUUGGUUCAACAUUUUUGAUACCUCAACCGCCUCCACACCAUUAGCUUUGAAGAACAACAAGCUAUCAUCUACAAACAAAAGGUGAUUAACAUGCGGUGCCGAAGGCGCCACUUGUACCCCACCAAUCUGAGAUGACUGGUUUAAUUUUUUUAGGAGGCACGAAAGGCCCUCUACUGUCAACAAAAACAGGUAGGGGGAGAUCUGAUCUACCUGACGAAUAACUCUUGGAGGUUUAAAUUCAUAUAACCUUUUCCAUUGAAUAAAACUGAGUAAGAAAUAGAGCCAAUAAGAUUCAUGACAAUAUCAACCCAUCUAUGUGAAAAUCCCAACUUACUCAUAAUAGCUCUCAACUAACUCCAUUCAACUUUGUCAUAGGCCUUCAUCAUGUCCAGUUCAAAGCACAAUGACGGUGUUUCACAAGAGGCGAAUGUUUGGUCUAUGGGGACAUAUGUCCCUGUUACCCAAUGCGUCCAUAAGUGCAUCGCGAUUGGCAUCUAAAGUAGCAUUUCAGCAUAUACGGCUUGAAGGAAUAGUUGGAAAGUGGAAUAUACAUCAGACGUACAGUGAUGUACCAGGCCACAGACAGGUCGGUACAGGAUCUUGUAGCAGCGACGACGCAUUUUCAAUCGUCCAUCGAUAAAUGUUGUCCUACUGGGACACACCACCUUCUUGGAAGAUCGAGGUCCUUGUCAGAGUCCUGGCGUCAACUUAGCUUAGUUGGUGCGCAGGUAAUCUGUCUUUGUGUUUAGUAGGAAGUAACUAAAUUGCCAUGUUUUGCACCAACAGUAAGAAAUCAAAAAUAAGUAAAUAUGUAUGGUUAAUAAAUUUAGUAAUGUAUGGACUUACUUACAUGAUUUAACUGGAAGAUAAGGAAAUAAAUACGGAGUUACUUGCAUGAUUUAACAGGGGGAAAGUUAAUUCGGAUGGUUUGUCCAACGAAUAGCAUAUAAUAUUUAAAAAAAUGUUUAAAUAGGUUGCAAAAGAAGUUACUUUGGGCUGAUUUUUUAUUCACAGUUGCUAACACUAAUGUUUUGAAAAAAAUGAAAGGUAUGUCAAUUAAGUGGACAUGCAUUUGUCUAAAAGAAGCCCCAAUGUGGAUGAUUUUGUAGCAGUGACAGCCUCCAGGGGGCAACAUCUUAUAUGAUUACAGGCGUGUUUGUAAAAUAUGCUUCGAGAAGUAGGCAGUUGGCUAGCAGUGGCAAAAUGGUGGGGCAGUAAAUAUGGGUGGUUGGUUGGUGGUGAUACUUUAACUGGAGCAUCGAUGCAACUGUUGGGGUAAAAGCUACACCCUGCAUUCAGUCUAUCCAUUUAUUCUGAAGAAACUCCUCCUCCUGAGUGAAGCGAAGAACAGCUAUGUGCGUAACGGAGAGGGAGAAAUAUCAAGGUGGUGGAUGUAAUGGACGGACUUCCUUCACGUAAGGUAACAUAUUCUCCAUUUGUAUGUUAGAUAUGCUUAGAAAUGUAGCCCGGUCACAUGAGUAAUCUUUGGAGAAAUACUGUUCAGGUUGUGCUAGAAACUGGCAGAUCUAAAGAAGAAGACGAUAAGAGAGAGUUAUUCCGUGGUGAUGUAUUGAGUAGCAGUAGCCCGAUAGAUGUUGCUAAGGACUCAUAUCCAAUAGAAGAGUGUGCAAGCACAAAAGGAGCGUUCAGUGGUGUUGGUAACAUUUCGAAGGGACGGGGCAGAUUCACAGCAUCGGAUCUGCAAAAAAUGUAUCUUGAACUAUCUACAAAGCAAAAGGGCAUAAUUAAAAAUUUAGGAAUUGAAGGAGUAGAGUGGAUUAACAAGAUGGUGCACACAAACCUUAAUCAUUCAGCUUGGUUAAUGCUUAAUGUCAUGCUUGAUGACCGUGCUAUGAGAAUUGGCGUAGAUGAUUGUGACAUAGUUCAUAUUACAGAAACUGCGGUAGCAAACAUAACUGGGAAGAGAAUGGGUGGUUCAAUAACGAUUCCAAUUUCUGAAGGUGCCCCAAGCCAUAGUGAAAUCAAAGAUGUGCGAAGCAUACUGAGACUUCACGAUGUAACUGAAGAAAUAACAGUCUCUGAACUUGUCACACUGUUGUUGGGAGAAAGUAAGAAGGGAUUUGAAUUAGAUGAUGAAGGCCCUUCACGCACACAGAGAGCAUUUGCAAUGAUUUACCUUUCUAUUGCGCUUGGUCCUGUGGAGAGAAAAUGUUGUGUCAACAGGAGUUCUUAUGUGAUGGUGAUACUUUAUCCGAAUCUGAAAGAUGUCAAUUGGGGAAAAUAUGCAGUUGAUGAGAUAAUAAGCGGCGCAAGGAAACUGAACCGGGACAAUCCACUGCUUAGCAUAACACUACAUGGGUGCCCUGCUCUGCUUGAGGUAUUUUAAUAAUUCAAUAUUUGCUAUCUUAAAUUUGUGAAUGUACUGACAGGAAUAUGUACAAUAGAUUCUUUAUUUUGACUCCAUGGACAUAGGUUUCGUUCAACUAGAUCAGAAAGCAGUACCCAGGAUAAAGUACUACAACAAACAAAUCCUAAGUGCCCUGGUGAAGGCUAACAACAAAGUAGAUGGUGGGCGUAUUACAUUUGGAUUAAUGAAGGUAUAUGUUUCAGCAUGAAUAAUUAAUUGCUUUUUUAGGUAAUUUGUGAAAAUGCCAUUUUAUAAAAAUGAUAGCUAAAUAUCACAUGUAAGUAAUCUCUGACACUAAAACAUGUUGACAGCUAAAAGGAUCAACCAAGCAUGCUGAUAACUUAGCUUAUGAUUUAACUAAUGAAUCAUGCGUGAAGGUAAAUAUAUACAACCAGAUUUAAGUUUUAUGAAAAGGAUGUACUACAAUAUACCGAAUGUUCACAAUGUUUAUAUAGGGGAGGAAUUGGAUAUUUGAAGAACUAGCACAACAGGCCAAAGGUAGGAUCGAAAGAUUUAUGAAGUUACAUGCAGAUCUCAUGAAUCAAAAUAGUCUGACUAAGGAAAGGAAGAAAAAACUAUUUCAGACACAUAGAUUAGUAGAGAAAAUUGAUGCUGAUAGUUGGCACAGUGAAAAUUCUGCGUUAUAUUCAGAAAAAUGAGGUAGAGGGGGGUGGAUUGGUAAAAGAAACAAUUUCUUGUCUGGACAAUGUUUUGGCUGCUAAGUAAUUAUCUAAUUCCAUGUAAUGUAAAUUUCAAAUAUCAUACUUUGCGACGGUGAUAACACAAUUAAUUGGGAAUUAGGUGUCUGUGAAAACUUUGCCAAGGGUACCAAGAGGAAGGCAAGUCCAAGUUUAGAUGAGGGGGCACAUAAAGAGAAAGGUAUAGCAAAUCGUUUAUGUUUUCCUUUGUACGGAAGAUGAAUGCACUAAGUUAUUUUUGCAGGGCCUAUGGUCCCAGACUUGAACAUGUUGUUGAUGGGUAGCACAGAAUGUGUUAAAGGGAAGGAAGUUGUCUCAGAAGGGGGGGGCAUGUUCAAUCAAGGGAUGCUGGUGCAUUAUAAUCCAAAUGAUGAGCUGCAUUGUGAAGCUGAAGAGUUAUGGAAAAAAGAUUCAUGUAGAAACCAAUUUGAAGAAGGUGGCAUUACCAAUAAUCAGAGCAUCAUGUCCUUUCCAGUUCCAAUCAAUGUAUCCUACUGUGAGUAAUGGUGUAUUGGAAAAAGGGUUCAGAAACAUGAUGAUAUGCUUCAAGAAGACAUUGAAAUCGUAUGUUUUGAAAGAACAAAACUCGUCAUUAAAUAUAUGUUGGUGGAAGCUGAUUUUUUUAAUAGCAAUGCUUGGCUGAUACAUGAGGUGCCUACAAGGAUAUGCCUAACAGGACAGCAAGUAGUUGCCCAAUUCAACAACCCAGGUAGCUUGGAGAAGGAUAGGUUCGAAAUAGUCACACGGAUGAUGGUAGCUGUAGAGAUAAAAUGGAUUAGAGGACUAUAUCGUGGAAGGUGGAGGCACAUCUUGCUUCCAAUAUGGGCUGUAAGUUAUGUUAAGUUACGUACUAAAGUGAUUUCGAAAAAUAUGUAUGAUUUGACAAAGAAGCUGUUGUAAAACGCAGGAAUUGGUAUUAAACGCAGAGCAGUACCUACUUGAUGAGACAAUAAGGAUGAUGUUUGCAUACGCAAACUUGGAAUACGACGUUGAAUGCUGCAGAGUGGUAAUUGAAUUUUGUUUAGACAUAAGGGGACUAUAACAAUUUAUAUGUUUAUUGCUUAACUGGAUAUAUGCUAUGUAGAUUUUUGCUCCAUACCGGGACGAAGAACAAUUCUGGAUUUUAUAUGCAUUUGACAUGGAAACCUGUAGAGUGCAUGUUUUCGAUCCGAAAAGGGGAAACCGUCCAAUGUGGGCGCUGGAGAAAAAGCACAAGAAGUUAUGCUACAAAUUGAUCGAGGGUCUUUCUAGAUGUUAUUUAUAGGUUCUUUGAUGGAUGGAAUAUCAAUGCGGAAUCAUUCCAGUUUAUAUAUCACAGUUUCCUUGAGAAGGCCAGCAACAUGUCAUACCUUAUCUUGCAUUCUAAUCGUGUGAGCUAUUUUUAUGUGGUAAUCACUCUGAUAACCUUUCCUAUGGCAGAUUUGACAGUUCAUUCUACAUGGUGCAUUGCAUUAUGAAUUACAUGGGAACUGGUCUGGCACAUGGAUGUACUGAGGUAUGAAACAUUUCCAUACUUUCGUAAUUUUUUAAAAUUUAAUAAUACUAACUGUUGUCAAAAAAACAUAGGAUGGGUUGAAGAAGAUAAGGGAGUACAUCGUACACAUGGUGCUGACAAUGGAUGGUAAUAUUGGAGUCCCGCCGAAAUGCAUAGUGAGUCCAAUGCUGCUGGAAUAAAGUACUGAUGGCCCAAGUUGUUGGAAAAAAAUUUGUAAUAUAUAACGUAGAUGAUGGAUGUUUUAUGUAGCUUUAUGUAAUGUACUACUAUGUUAAAUGCAGCUGAAUUCUGAGGGAUGCAUCCCUUCUAAUGUAGUAUAUUUGCGUAAAAAUGGUAGAUGGCGUGGACGACAACAAAAUAUGUAGUUCUGGUAGUUUCAUUAGACCUAAUAAUAAAUCUGAACAUUAUCAAUGUUUGGUGCGAGAGCGCUGAUGACAACAUACAAUGCCAAAAAUGUAUGUACUGGAGCUGAUGUCAAUUUUAUUAAUAAAAUGAUUAAUGGACUAAUGAAACUUCCGAUCACAUUCAUUUUUGUAAAGGUAAAAAUUAUUUAAAUGAAUGCAUUUCGCGUAAUGAAAAAAAUUUGGUAUAUGUUUUUUGGAUAAAUGACGGUUCAAUUUGUGGUUCUCGUAUAAAACAGAAAUGCCCCCAGGUGGCUUUAAGUAGAUUUUGUAAUAAUACGGUACAGAGGAAAAUACAUCCAAGGUUGAAGUUUCACCCCAUAUGGGUGCAUAAAUAAUAAACAAAAAAAGGUUGAAAAAGUUAAGAACUUGGUUGACAGGAUAACUGACUUGCUUUGGAUUUAGUAUGUAAUUGUUAAUGAAUAAAAUUAUAAAGCUUGACUUGAAAGUGGAAAAAGUCAAAAAUUGGUUGGCACUAUAGCUAACUAUUCAUACUGUUUUAUUGGGAUAACAUAAGUAUUUCUUGACCGUAGAUGUGAGAAUGAGAUAUCUUUUUGUUUAUUAACUGUAACGAGUACAAUAAAAUAGAGAUUUAUUUGAAAAACUAUUACAGAAACUUUUGACUUGUCGUGGAAUUACUGAAUUUUUUUGUACAUAUGGUCUAGAUGUCCACAUACACAAUUGUAACUAGUACAAGAAAUCUGCGUCCACGGUUUUUUUGGUCAGCUAAACUACCGAGGAAACUAGGGUGAUUCAUGCUGUAGUUCUCAAUACCCGGCAUGAGUAAUGAUAAAAGAUUAGAUUUGGCUGAAGGAUGUCUUUUAGUACACAAAUUUUCAUUAAUAAACAUUUUGCAUGUGGUCUUUGUUACUUUUGUAAGUUCCAAAUUGUAAUGAAAUAAUUGAGUUAAUAGAAAAAAUGUACUAGUAAGAAUAAAGGACGAUGCAAUUAAUAAAUUAUUUAAGGAGUGAAGGUUGCUUGUUUAAACGGAGGAAGAAUACUACAGUAAAAUUAUAUUAUAAAUUUUUGUGUUGUGAUGUAUUAUUAUUAAUAAUUCGGUACGUUGACAGUACAAAAUGAAGCGCGGAGUUCUGAGGACUUAAUUUAAUAAAUAUAUGUAAAAUCUGUGAAAAAAAUAAAAGUUAAACUAAGUCACCGUCUAAAAAACGCGGUAACUCAAUGAGUAUGAUUGGUUUGGCUGAAAGAAACUUGUACUAAUUACAGAAAAGCUGUUUAGCAUUUUGUCUAUGCAUUUGCUAGGAGCAGUGGUGAAAAAUUGCAACGUGGAUGAAGGAAUGAAGGCCUUGAGGUACUGGUGCAUGAGAUAUAUUUUGAUGAACUUAUUGAGGAUGUAUUUGAUUGGAAGCUUGACGACAGGAUGCGCUGGAUUAUUUUUAUGAAUGGGAUUGUGUACGAUAUAUGGAAAACCCGGUUUUGUGGUAACACGCGCGAGGAUUGCUGUAAUUUAUGUCGCAAAAAAAUGUUCAAAUACAUCCUACAAAUUAAUAGUAACAAAGAAAAAAAAGGAUAACAAGUUUUUAGUGUCAUGGGGCCGUUAAUAGAAAUGAAACUGGUGUGUAAAUUAUUAUUAGUAGUAAUCAUUGGCAGCUGGAUACAAAACCAAAAGUACACAGGCAGCCAACGCAUGUUUAGGGGAAAGACCUUGUUUAUGUAGGGCAGGGGAAGGAAAGCAUUAAAAAAUUGUUGUGGUAGAUGGGCAGCGUGCCAUUUAAGUGGUAGGCAGUGAACGACGCAAGGGGUGUUGGCUUCUUCCUCCACUCCCGACUCCGCCUCGCGCCGCCUCCCCGGGCGGCGGCCGGGGCGGCUCCUCCGCGCCUUCUCCUCGCCCCCACCCCUCCGUCCUCCCUCCCCCGCCGCCGCCGGACAGCGCCCCCGGAUCUGGCCGGGUGGCUCGGCGGCGGCGGGCCUUCUUUUCCCCCGCGCGCUGCGCCCUUCCCGGGGCAGGGCUCGGCGGCGGGUGCAGCUCGGCUGGCGGUGGUCCGGCGUCCUGGUGGCGGGGGCCGGCGGCUGGCGCGGUGGUGGCGCUGCCUCUUGGUGGCGUGGUGGCCUGGUGGCGCUGGUGGCCGGCGAUGCGCCCCCGGCCCAGAUCUGGGCCCUUAGGGCCCCAUCUGGGUCCUAGCGGGCCGGCGCCCGCGUGGCCUUGCUGUCUACGGCUCGGUGUGGAGGAGGAGCGGCUCGGAUGUGGGCGGCGGCGCCGAUGGCGUGCCGGCAGCAACGCGAGGGCGGGAGCUUUACGGGCCCACGAGGGCUCGGCCGGGCCUGUGGGCUUACGGGCCUGGUGUGCUCCUGCUAUUGCGUCCGGACGGCUACCGUCGCUGACGGUGGAGGUGGGGCCCUCCCGCGUGCCGACGGUGCUGCUGCCCUAGUCCCGGCUCUGAUUCUUCGCCUUGUUGUCCUCACUUCGCGGUGUCGUGGUGAGACGGCGUGGGGGCCUCUUGACCGUGUUGGCGCUGGGUGGUGGUUGGUUUGGUGGCUGGCUCCGGAGCGCCCGAGGUGCGGGUUGGGAUCGGGGGAAACCCCUGUCGGCUUGGCCGACACCGGCGCGGUGGCGCCUGUGGGUGCUGCCUGACCUUCCGGGAGGGCGUCGGCGGCUACCCUUCCUCUCGCCUCGUCGUGUACCGGGGGAAACCCUUGGCAGCAGCGUCGUCAUCGUCGCGAUCCUUCUUGGAGGUGUUGAUAGGUGCCGGCGCUUCGGAGUCUUGGAGCCUAGUGGAAGAUCCCGGUGGGCGCAGCGUUCGCGAGGCUUCUUCGUUUUCGUUGAUCCGCCGUUGUUCUUUUGCUCUUUCUCUGUCGUUUCUUUUGGGCGUGACUGUGCUGCUUCCGCCCCAGCACCUAUCUUCGUACGGCUUGGUUGGUUGCUUUGUAUACAAAGCGGGGGGAAACCCUUUUUCGGCAAGUGGUAGGCAGUGUGAGCAGAUAUACUGUUGACUAGCAAAACCACCUGCCGCUUGGAGGAGGAUAGGGUUUCCAGGUUAGAUCUGUGCUCGGGAGGGAAGUGCGCCGCCAUGGCGAUGGAGCAGAAGCUGAUGAAUACUGGGCAAUACAGGCAAGAAAGGUAACACGUCCGGCUGUCCCCCCCUCAUCUUUGCCUAUUUGUGUGCCAACUGUUUUUUGACUAUUUAGUACAUGGCGCUGCCGGGUCUAUGGGGAUUUCCGCAUUUAGGUUCCUUGCUUUAUUAGAAAGUGCGAAUAAUGGGGAGCUAUUCUACAGCGAUGAGCCGAGUGCUCUAGAAACCGUCAAUGAAGGAAGCGAGUCAGAUAUAUAUUCAGGUUCAGAGAACAUGCUGUCAAAUGUUCAUGCAUGGCAAACAAAUGGUAGUGGCAUUGUUAAAGCGACAGAUUUGGCUGGGCCUGAGGGUCUGCGGCUUAUCAGUGGGUUGAUUGAGCCUAUUGAACCAGACAAGGCCGACAAAGGAUGCCUACAAAUUUCAGAGACCGCGGGAGCAGAGCAGAGUUCUGAAAGUGAUACUACUUGCGUUAGAAGGUAAUUUGAACCUUUGUUAUAAUUUAUAUUCAACUUUGUGAAGAAAAAUGUGUGACAUUUGAACUUUGUUAACAGGCAUCGGCGAGGAGCAAUGCCUGAUGAGAGAACUAUACAAGCAAAGAGGGUUACAACACUUGAAACUGCAAUCAGGGGUUUUGCUGAAAGGAAAACAGCUUCUGUCAUUACACCAACACUAGGAUUGAGUUAUGAUUCAUUGACAGAAGCUUACGACUUUUACAACCUGUAUUCUUGGGAAUGUGGUUUCGGCAUACGUUACGGAAGAGCAAAAAUAAUGUGAAAGGAGCCAGGUGUAUGCAGGUUUGUUUGCUGUUGUUCGAUAAGUAACUUUUUUUUAUACUUGAUUACACAAAGCAUUGUGUGGAUUACAUGUUGCUAUCGAAAAUUGACAUGUGCAUUUCUUUUGCAACAGGGGAAACCGAAUAAGGAGAACAACAGUUCAUGCAGAGCAAAAUGUCGUGCAACGGUGAGGCUACUAAGAACUGAUGACGGGGGUGGUAUAUAUCCGAGAACAGGACAGAGCACAAUCAUGUACUACUUGAUACUUGUGCUUCUAAGCUCCACUUCCCGUCGCAUAGGCACAUAGAUAAGUACACUAGAUAAUUGGUUGCGCACCUUAGGCAGAAUAAUGUUAAUCUUAGUAAGGUUUACAACAUCAUUGGAACUUAUUUUGGGAGGAUCGAGAAUGGUCCAUUCACCAAAAGGUUCUUACGUACAUUGUGUGGGAAAAUUAUUAGAGAACAAGCUGAUGAUGAUGUGCGUAAAACAAUAGAAAUUUUCUUGGAGAUGAAAGAGAAAGAUAGUGAUUUAUCUUACACAGUUCAAGUGGAUGAUGAAAGCCGGAUUAGGACAUUGUUGUGGUCUAAUGGUAGAAGCAAAUUGCAAUACCACUAUUUCGGAGAUGCAGUGACAUUUGACACUACUUACAAGACAAACCUGUAUGACAUGCCGUUUGGGCUGUUUGUAGGUGUUAACAAUCAUUUCCAGAGCACUAUUUUUGCUGGUGUUCUUAUGAGGGACGAGCAGUCAGAAAGUUUUGAACAGGUUUUCCGUGAGUUUGUGAAGAUGAUGGGAGGAAAGGUUCCAGUGACUAUUCUUACUGAUAAUUUUUUUGUUUGUUUUCAAUCUGAAAAGUUAAUAAAAGAUGUCAUUUGUGCUAUAGGAAUGAUUUUGAUUAGUACUAUAUAUGUAAUUUAUGGUAAUAUAAAUAAUUUUUAAUCAAAUGUUGAACAGACCAAGCUAGGGCGAUGGAGAUUGCUAUUGAGAAUGUUUGGCCGGAAACAACACACCGUUGGUGCAAGAGAGUUUGGGUUAUCAUCAUACAAAGAAGAGUGACUUCCGAGCAGAAUUCCAUAGAUUGGUGAACGACAUGCUAACUAUCGAAGAGUUUGAGAAGGGGUGGGUGGAGAUUAUGAAGAAAUACAGUUUGCAGAGCAAUACAUUCCUCAUACAAAUAUUUGAGGUGAGGCGGAAGUGGGCAAAGCCAUAUUUUUCUGGAAAAUUUUGUGCGAAAAUGACGAGCACACAAAGGAGUGAGAGCGCAAAUCACAUGCUGAAGAAUUAUGUUCCUCCAGCAUGCCCAAUGAAUCUUUUUGUCAAGUAGUAUGCAAAAGUACCGUUUGAUAGAGAGCAAGAAGAAGGUUUCCAAGAAAAGAGGACCAAAUUGGUAAGAUAAGCAACAUUCUUUUAAUAUAUUGUAGUUUGUUUAAGCAAGCCUGAAUUAUGUUUCUAAUCGGUACACAGGCAGGGGUAGUUCUAAAAGUUAACAUACCAAUUGAACGCCAUGCAACCACGGUGUAUACUCAGGCCAUGUUUGAGCUGUUUGGAAAAAGUCUUUACUACUCAUGUUCUUAUUACAUCGAAGAAUUAGUUCCAGGGAGUGAGUACCUGGCAACACACGUGAAGGCGGGGUCGAGGGAGAAAUGGUACAAGAGCAGAUACAAGGUGGUGGUUUCAGAAUUCAACGAUUUUUUCAGUUGUGAGUGUUGACUCUUUGAGCAUAUGGGGAUGAUUUGUUUCCAUGCACUAAAGGUGUGUACAUAUGAAUUUUUAGUAGCUAAUUCCUUUUAUUUGUUAAUUGCUGACUUUGCACAUGACUUGGAAUAACAGGUGAUGAUAGUGUUGGGAUUGAAUGAGAUACCAAGGAAGCACAUACUGAAAAGAUGGACAGUAGAUGCGUGUGAUACCCUUCCAGAACAUCUGAAGCAUUAUCAAAAAGAUGUAGGCCUACCUGAUUGCACAACUUUCAGACACAAUGCUAUGUACAUCUCUGCUCUGGAAUUGGUUAUGAUGGGUGAUAGCAAUCCCAAGGAUUUUGACUAUGUCAUGAGCGGGCUAGCAGAAUUGAAGAAGGGUGCUUUGCCACUAAGUAAUCUUAAAGAUGGAAUGAGUCUAAUUGAAAAAAAGAAGGCAUGUAAGUCUUCUUUGUUGCUAAAUCUAUUGCUUCAAAGGUAGUCAGAAGCAGAUUAUUGAUGAGGAAGCUGCAUCAAGUGCUGGGAAAAUUGAAUGGAGAAAUGCAAAAGCAAGAACGAUAGUAGGGGAGGGGCAAUCUUCAGUUCAUGCUAAUGGUACAAUUCAAGCAAUUUCGGGUUCGUCUACUAUCCAGGGGGCGACCUGAGCACGGCUGAUUCAAACAUUGUUGUAACUUCAAGAAGCAUGGAUAUAGAAAGCGACAUGUCCAUGUUACCCCCUAAGAAGAAACCAAGGAUGAGAGGUCAUCCGAAAACUGCAAGAGACAAGCCAAAUUACGAAAUAAAUGACAAGCGAUCGGGGUUUUGCACCAUUUGCCGUGGGAAGGGGUACAAAAGAACUAUAUGCCCUCAAAGGGGCAACGAACCGCAGAAGCCCAGGAAGAUUCCGACAUGUACAAAUUGUGGCAUAGCCGGUCAUCAUAGGAAUACGUGUUCAGAAGUGUUGUACUCUACAUUGGAUGGGGUGCACUCUGUAGGAUGCAUCUGAAGUAAUUAUGUACUUCUAAUUGAAUCUUUUUUAAACAUUUGGACAAGUUUGUGUUGUAAAACAUCUGGAGACAAAAAAUGUUGAAGUUAUGUUACUUUUUUUAUUAUGUUUUGUAAGAAUAUGUCAUAGGGGUAAGAAAUAAUUUAUUUGGAUAUAGGCGAUACAUUAGCAAGAGCAGCUGCAAGGAUGGAUAUCUAUGAUUGCUGAAAAAGAAAACAAAAAAAUUACAGAUAUAUAUGGAGCAUGAUAGGCACAAGGUAUUUUUUUGGGAAAAUAAACAAGUAGAAGAAAAGAACAAAUAUUAAUGCAGUGUGUUUAUAAGAGUGGUAGAGGCCGCAAGAAAAUGCCAGGAAAAAGCACAUGGUGUCUGGUUGGCAGAGGAGUAAUAAAUAUGUGGUUUCUGUGUGAGAGGCGGCAAUGCUGUGGACAUACUUGUCCAUCUAAGGACAUGCCGAGACCUACAUACUUGUCCAUCUAAGGACAUGCCGAGACCUGAGGAAGCUUCAGUACUCACCAAGGCAACAUNNNNNNNNNNNNNNNNNNNNNNNNNNNNNNNNNNNNNNNNNNNNNNNNNNNNNNNNNNNNNNNNNNNNNNNNNNNNNNNNNNNNNNNNNNNNNNNNNNNNNNNNNNNNNNNNNNNNNNNNNNNNNNNNNNNNNNNNNNNNNNNNNNNNNNNNNNNNNNNNNNNNNNNNNNNNNNNNNNNNNNNNNNNNNNNNNNNNNNNNNNNNNNNNNNNNNNNNNNNNNNNNNNNNNNNNNNNNNNNNNNNNNNNNNNNNNNNNNNNNNNNNNNNNNNNNNNNNNNNNNNNNNNNNNNNNNNNNNNNNNNNNNNNNNNNNNNNNNNNNNNNNNNNNNNNNNNNNNNNNNNNNNNNNNNNNNNNNNNNNNNNNNNNNNNNNNNNNNNNNNNNNNNNNNNNNNNNNGAGAGAGAGAGAGAGAGAGAGAACCAUUCAGAGCGUCCAUGGAUAUGGUGAUGGAAUCAAAGAAGCGUCCGAGGAACUUUUCAGUGCAUGCAAUAUACUACUUUGAAAUUUCUUCUUCUUCUGUUGUUCAUUCUUUUACUAAUUUUUUUGUACCAGACAACUGCAAGUGUGGAAGGAGGGGCAGCUUAUGCUAUAAUUGAGACAGGAGAUACUUCCUCUGGUUCAGAAGUUGAGCAGGUAAAAAUGUAAUUAGUGCUUUUAAAAUAAGAAUGCAUGAAUUAUAAAAAUAGUGUAACAUCCCAAAUUUUCAAUUUGGAAUGUUAUACACUAGAUCAUCAUUGCAUAUCAUAUUUAUUGCAUUUUGGUUGAUCCUAGAAAUUUUUCGCAACUCAAGGACCCUGGGAGAGAGUUGGGGAUUUCGUUAUUUUCAUAUUUGAGUUGUCUCAAAUUUUGAAAAUAGGAUCAUUUGAUUUUAUUUAUUUUAUCUUCAAUUAUUUCUAUUACAAAAAUAUGAGAGAGGGAAUAAAAUGACUUUCCCAAAAUAAAGAAAUAUUGAGGAUUUAAUAAAAAAUCAAAUAAGAUUUAUUUCGAGAUUUUUGGAGUCUGUUUAGUAGUCCUUUUGUUUUUUUUCCGAGCGUAAGUUUUUUUUUUAAAAACGUCCGAACCGACCUACGGGCCGUGCUAGGCCCGGACUCCCCCGGACCCAGCCUUUAUAAGCCGCNNNNNNNNNNNNNNNNNNNNNNNNNNNNNNNNNNNNNNNNNNNNNNNNNNNNNNNNNNNNNNNNNNNNNNNNNNNNNNNNNNNNNNNNNNNNNNNNNNNNNNNNNNNNNNNNNNNNNNNNNNNNNNNNNNNNNNNNNNNNNNNNNNNNNNNNNNNNNNNNNNNNNNNNNNNNNNNNNNNNNNNNNNNNNNNNNNNNNNNNNNNNNNNNNNNNNNNNNNNNNNNNNNNNNNNNNNNNNNNNNNNNNNNNNNNNNNNNNNNNNNNNNNNNNNNNNNNNNNNNNNNNNNNNNNNNNNNNNNNNNNNNNNNNNNNNNNNNNNNNNNNNNNNNNNNCCUGCGCCCGACGCCGCGCGCCGCCGCCGCCCGCUGCCGCCCCGCCGGACCCCGCCGGACCCCGCCGACGCCGCCGCCUCGCCGGAGCCGCCGUCGUCGUCCCGCCGCUCGAGGUUUACCUCGAUCCCACCGCCGGUUUUCCCGGAAAAACCGUUCGGUGUUCGCCGGUUUUUUUGUUUCGUUUUUUCUUUAGAUCGGUUUUUUCCCGGUUUAGGCUAAUUAGCGAGCGUUCGCUCGUUCGUUCGUUUUAUCGAACGCGUUCUUCGUUUAGAUUCAGUUAACGAACGAACGUUCGUUAAAUUGUUCGUCGUUUUUCUUUUUCUCGGAUUAAAUCCGCGAUUUUCUGAUCGCGAUUUCUGAUCCGAUUUUCGUUUUAGUUUAUCUUUUCGCUCGUUUAUCGGAAUCAGGCGAUUCAAGCGCCUGGAGUUUCGUCUCGAAACUCUCUUUCUGUUUAACCAACUUAAACAAGUUUUUGCUUCUGUAAAAAUUGCCUUAGAUCUAGAAUAGUAAACGAAGCCUGUUUCUUUUGCCGUUUGUCUUUCGUUGCUUCGUUCGAUUCGAUUCUUUUUGCCAACCGGAGUUCUUAAGUUGAACUUUCUGGUUAAAUCUCUUAUUUGAGUUUUACCUAUGCAUUAGUUGAGUACUUAUUGUGUGCUUGUUUGUUUGCGAUAGAGUACCCGGAGUGCGCCGCUUGUUACUUCGAAUCGCUAGGUUUCCCGGAUCAUCAGCAAGGCAAGUAACACUUUGAUCAUACCUCCUACUACCCAGUUUUAUUGCAUUAGAUCAAUCCUUACACAUUUCAUGAUUAAUGUAAUUAAAUUGUGGGUUUGGGAAGUAGUUGAGGUAGUACCUAUUACCUGUCUAAUUAUCAAACCUUUGGGAGUUACUUCUACGUUUGCUUAUUAUUGCUAUGCUAUGCUAGUAGACGUGGAUUGGGUGAGUGUAUCCAUGACAGAUGUGAGCUUUGUUAAUUAAUGUUUUACUUAAGGUGGCAACCUAAACACACAUCUGGGUGGAUUGAGGCAUCUGGGUAUUCCAGGAUUGCCUGUUUUCUUUUGGACCGCCACCUAGGCUCAAAGGGAUCAUGAGAUUAUUCAUGCUAGAAACUUCUGUGUGCAGCCACAAGCUAUUAUGGGCUCUAGCAUAGUUGACUAAGUCGUGCGAACUCUUACAGUGGUAGACUAGCAGAUGUAGGGGAUGUAGGUGGUACGGUCUACCCAUCGUAAGGUGCUAGCGCUUCUGAAAGACUAUGUCUCGGUCAUCCGUUUCUCAAACACCAUGUAGUGCGAGAAACCAAAUGGAGGCGAUCGAGUCUUGUGGGGAAAAGUGCGCAAACCUCUGCAGAGUGUAUAAACUAAUCAUGGUUAGCCGUGUCCCCGGUUAUGAACAUCUUGAGUAUCUAGUACCUGGAUUAUCAUGUGAAUCUCAACAUGUUACUCUAAAGAUUAAUUUUGUUGGGUUUGUUUAAUGAUGAUGUUUAAUUGGGAUUGAGAAUGCCGUCAACCAUUCUCACUGUUUAACAACCACCAUAAUAGUUAAAUAAAUUUAUUCCUUUGCAGUAGGGAAAAAUUGGCUUUACGCAAAACUGUAACCAUAGAGCUUUCCACCAGCCAAAUAUGCAUAUAGUAUAACUGUUUCAUUCCAUUAUUCUCCAUGUGUUACAUUGCCAGCAUAUUCCAUGUGCUGACCCAUUUUCGGGCUGCAACGUUAAUGUUGCAGACUUUUCAGACGAUGAUUAAGGAGUUCUAGGUUGUGGUUCUAUACUCAGUGAUGCCGUUGGAGUUGAUGGACUCACUUAUCUUCCAAGCCUUCCGCUGUUAUCGUUAUUAGAUGGCCUUAAGCCAUUUUUAUUGUAAUAAGUUAUCUUUGGAGACACUCGAUGUAAUAAGUGUGUGAUUGCUACUCUGCUAUAAAUCCUUCAAGUACUGUGUGGUGUCAGCAUUACUGAUCCAGGGAUGACACCGAAGCACAGAGAUUGGACUGUCUGAGGUCUGGUCGCUACAAGAUGGUAUUAGAGCCCACACUAACUGUAGGACACGACCACUAAGCUAAAGACCUAGAUCACUACUCACUCUCUUCUCUUCUGACCUUUCAUCUUUUCUACUCUUUUUGGAUGGCGGAUGCAAGAAACAAGUUCACUCAACCGGAUGAAGAUACACCCUUUGGACGUCACUUGAAGGAAGUCACUAGAUACCUGAACAUAUGAGUACCAAGCUUCACUGGAACCUACAAUGCCACCUUACCUGAAGAAGAGCGUUGGAUGAUUCAAGUUCAAGUUCUAGGAAGGACGUUCAUGCCAGUCACUGAGCCCAUAAAGUUUUCUUUCGAUGCACCAACCUGGAGUCUAGGAAAGAGCAUGGCAGCUCACAUCGCCAUGGGACGCAUUGGAGAAGUCUACCGCAAUGAUCUCAAGGAUACUAUCUACCAGAUUUGUGGGCGCCGAGAUGAGCACUGGGAGAUGAUCAGCACCAGAAAGGAUAGAUCAAUUGCAGCUUUUAUCCAGGAGUUAAACCAACACAUUUGACGCCAGGAGAACCAGAUGUGCGCCGACAUGAUAGAUCUAAAGAAUACAAGGACAAGAAUCAAGGAACUGUAGGAAGAACUCAAGGCUACACGUGAAGAUUUUGAAGAAGAAAUUGAAGUAUUAGUGGAAAAGAAUGACGAUCUGAUCAAGAAAAUUGGAAUAUUCAUGGGAGACCCUAUAUCGGUAGAAGAAGACGAAGAACCCAAGGAGAUUCGCCCGGAAGACUACAUCAUCAUCGACGACAUCGACUCGGAUCCAGAUGAUAGCGAUGAUGACUAUGUUGAUGAAGCUGGAGCAGAUAUCAUGGAGUCUGUAACAAAAGAAUAUUUCUAGUAGACCACCCCAACAAUAGUAGUAGUCCACCAUGUAAAUAUAGUAGCCCGAGGACUUUUGUGAUAGUUAGAUCGAUUGUAUGCCCUUGUUUGGUUGAUUGGAUGAAGUGAAUUGUUUGCUUUUGCCUCAUGUGUAUAUGGGUAGUGUUUUCUCUUUAGGCCCCCUCUAUUCUUAAAUCUCAUCCUUUUCUAAACCCUCAGAUGCCUCCGAGACGUGACCCCGAAUUUACCUUCCCACCGAAGCUCACUCAAUUGAUCCAGCAACAGAACACAUUGAUGCAGUUACUAGUCCAGAAUCAGAACCAGGGGAACAACAACAACAACAACAACCCACCACCACCACCACCUGUUGAUCACUUAGCCCAAUUUUCUUAGACUGAAUCCGCUGGUGUUUUCCAAUAGCACCGAGCCGAUAAUAGCAGAUGAUUGGCUCCGCAAGACAGCUAGAGAGUUGACCACAGUAGGAUGCACUGAUGCAGAGAAGGUGAAGUUUGUCGCACAUUAGCUUGAAGGACCCGCAGCAUCAUGGUGGGAGAAUUUCACAUCCACUUUCCCUGUCAAUACUAUCACAUGGGACCAGUUUCAGCAAGCUUUUCGUACUGCCCAUGUUUCAGCAGGAGCUAUGGCCAUGAAGAAGCGAGAGUUUCGCAACUUGCGCCAAGGAGGACGGAUAGUUGGUCAGUAUGUGGAGGACUUUAGUAAGCUAGCACGUUAUGCCCCAGAUGACGUUGCUAGGGAUGCAGCUAAGCAGGAGAAGUUUCUGGAAGGAUUGAAUGAUGAGUUGAGCAUGCAGUUGAUGGUAGCAACCUUCAACAACUACCAGGAGUUGGUAGAUCAUGCUCUUAUGAUUGAAGGGAAGCAGCAGCAAAUUGAGAAUCACAAGAGGAAGUAUGCACAAGGAAAGUACAAUUCAGGAGUUCAGCAGAAGCCACGAUUUACCCCUAGGCCGGGAGGACAUUUUUAGCAUACCCAUGGAGGAGGUAGUUCGCACAAUCACAAUGGCCCCAGGAAUGGUAAUGGGAAUGGAGGAAGCAACGGCCAGAACCGCACCAACCCAUCAACCCCAGCCAAGAAAGACCUAAGCCAAGUCACUUGCUUUAAGUGCCAGAAGACCGGACAUUAUGCUAAUGAAUGUCCUGAAUCCCAGAAUGGAAAUGGCAAUGGAAGCUCUGGGAAGAAGCCAAACCCUUUCAACAGGGGACAGGUGAACCACAUUAACGUGGAGGAGGUUGAAGAGCAGCCGGAUGUAGUAAUCGGUAAGUUUUUGGUUAAGUCAUUUACUGCACUCGUUCUUUUCGAUACUGGUGCAUCGCAUUCAUACAUAUCAAGGGGAUUUGUGGAUAAGUAUAAACUGCCAACCCAAGCCCUUAGGUCACCCAUGUUAGUAACCUCGUCUGGAGCAGAACAUAUGGCUAGUCUAUGGUGUGAUCGGUUACCAUUAAGGAUUGGUAACUAUGUUUUUCCCUCGGACCUAAUAGUAUUGGAAUCCCAAGGAUUGGAUGUGAUAUUAGGCAUGGAUUGAUUAUUAAAGUAUGAAGGGAAUAUUGAAUGUGCCAGUAAGUCAAUUUCACUUACCACCCCAGAAGGGAGAAGGAUCAAGUAUGUAUCCCGACAUGUGCCAAAGAGGACUCAAGUAAAUUGUUUAACCGAAGUAGUGCAGGAGGAAGUACCAGUAAUGAAGGAUUUCCCCGAAGUAUUUUCAGAAGAGUUGCCAGGCAUGCCACCGGAUAGAGAUAUUGAGUUUUUGAUUGAGCUUUUGCCAGGCACAGGGCCAAUAUCAAAGAGACCAUAUAGGAUGCCUGCAAAGGAUUUGGUGGAAAUUAAGAAGCAGAUUAAGGAGUUACUGGAUAAAGGAUAUAUUCGCCCAAGUUCAUCGCCUUGGGGAUCGCCAAUACUUCUAGUGGAGAAGAAGGAUGGAUCGUUAAGGAUGGUUGUCGAUUAUCGAGGAUCGAAUGAAGUAACCAUCAAAAACCAGUACCCCCUACCGAUGAUCAAUGAUCUGUUUGAUCGAUUGCAAGGAGCUAAUGUAUUUUCCAAGAUCGAUCUGCGAUCAGGAUACCACCAGUUGAAGAUUCGGGAACAGGAUAUACCCAAGACGGCUUUUACCACCAGGUAUGGGCUGUACGAGUAUACCGUUAUGUCAUUUGGUCUGACUAACGCACCUGCAUAUUUUAUGAACAUGAUGAACAAGGUGCUUAUGAAGUUCUUGGAUAAGUUCAUCGUAGUGUUCAUUGAUGAUAUCCUGGUUUACUCAAAGAAUGAAGAGGAGCAUAAGGAGCAUUUGCAUUUGGUUCUUGGAAAGCUCAGAGAACAUCAAUUAUAUGCCAAACUUAGCAAAUGUGAGUUUUGGUUGAAGGAAGUUGGAUUUCUCGGACACGUUAUAUCUGGAGAAGGUAUAGCAGUAGAUCCCACUAAAGUUGAUACCGUGACCAAGUGGGAAGCACCAACCACCAUGGGAGAGAUCCGGAGUUUUCUUGGACUCGCAGGAUACUACCAGAGGUUUAUUGAGAAUUUCUCAAAGAUUGCGAAGACUAUGACUGAGUUGUUGAAGAAGGAUACCGAGUUCAUAUGGACAGAGGAAUGUGAGGCUAGUUUUCAGGAGUUGAAGAAACGUUUGGUUACCUCACCCGUGUUGAUUUUACCGGACCAGACCAAGGAUUGUGAGGUGUAUUGCGACGCUUCACGAUGAGGACUUGGAGCAGUGCUUAUGUAGGAAGGCAGAGUUGUUUCAUAUACCUCACGAUAUCUUAAGCCUCAUGAGUUGAAUUAUGCCACGCAUGAUUUGGGAUUAGCAGCCGUAGUGCAUGCAUUGAAGACUUGGAGACAUUUUCUGAUUGGAAACCAUUGCGAGGUGUACACGGAUCACAACAGUUUGAAGUAUAUUUUCACACAGAAGGAGUUGAACCUCAGACAAAGGAGAUGGUUGGAGCUCAUCAAGGAUUAUGAUAUGAAAUAGCAUUAUCACCCCGGAAAGGCUAACGUAGUAGCUGAUGCAUUAAGCCGUAAGAGCCAUGUCAACACCCUAAUGACGGGAGAUUUACCAGGGGAGUUAGCCGAAAAUCUUCGAGAGCUAUGUUUGGAAAUAGUUCCAAGAGGCUAUGUAGCAGCAUUGGAGAUUCAGUCUACUUUAAUGGAUAAGAUCAGAGAAGCUCAAAGGACUGGCAAGGAAAUUGCUUCCAUUAAGGAGAAAAUGAACAAAGGAAAAGCUAAGGGAUUUCGUGAGGAUGAGCACGAUACCUUAUGGUUUGAAGACCGUGUCUAUGUACCAAAUGAUCCGGAGAUUAGGAAGCUAAUUCUGCAAGAGGCCCAUGACUCACCAUACUCGAUUCACCCAGGAAAUACCAAGAUGUAUUUGGAUUUGAAGGAUAUUUUCUGGUGGACCGGAAUGAAGAAGGAUAUUGCGGAAUAUGUAGCAGUUUGUGAUGUAUGUCAGAGAGUGAAGGCAGAGCAUCAGAAGCCAGCAGGAUUGCUACAACCAUUGACGAUACCCGAAUGGAAGUGGGAUAAGCUAGGCAUGGAUUUCAUCAUAGGAUUGCCCAGAACACGUUCAGGCUAUGACUCGAUAUGGGUUGUAGUCGAUCGUUUGACAAAGGUAGCUCAUUUCCUUCUAGUGAAGACUACCUAUACCAGUGCAAAGUUGUCAAAGAUAUACAUGACCAGGAUCGUAUGUCUGCAUGGAGUUCCAAGGAGCAUUGUAUCGGAUAGAGGAACCCAGUUUACCUCAAAGUUCUGGAAUCAGUUGCAUGAGACUUUGGGAACCAGACUGGAGUUUAGCACAGCUUUUCACCCGCAGACAGAUGGACAGACCGAGAGAGAGUAAAUCAGAUUUUGGAGGAUAUGCUAAGAGCUUGUGCGCUAGAUUAUGGAUCUAGUUGGGAUGAGAAUUUGCCAUAUGCAGAGUUCUCUUACAACAACAGCUAUCAAUCCAGUUUGAAGAUAGCCCCUUUUGAAGCCUUGUACGGAAGGAGGUGCAGGACCCCAUUGUCCUGGGAUGAAGUUGGAGAUCGCCAGUUGUUUGGACCGGAUCUGAUAAAGGAGUCUGAACAGAAAGUGAAAUUAAUUCGCGACAGGCUGAAGGUAGCUCAAUCCAGGCAGAAGAGUUAUGCAGAUUCUAAACGCAAGGAGACAGUUUACGAAGUCGGAGACCGAGUCUAUCUUCGAGUAUCACCACUUCGAGAAGUUAAGCGCUUUGGAGUUAAGGAAAAGUUAGCACCACAUUUUGUAGGCCCAUACCAAGUUUUGGAGCGUAUGGGAGAAGUUGCCUAUAAGUUGGAAUUGCCCAAAGGAUUGUCAGGAGUUCACGACAUGUUCCAUGUAUCCCAGUUGAAGAAGUGCCACGAAGAGAUGGCCGACAUACCGUUGAGAGAUACGGUACCACUAGAAGCAAUUCAGUUGGACAGUGAUUUAACCUAUGAGGAGAAACCAGUUAAGAUUCUAGAGUAUGCCAGUCGAGUCACCCGCAACAAGGUUAUCAAGUUUUGCAAGGUUCAGUGGAGCCACCACACGGAGGAUGAAGCCACCUGGGAACGAGAGGAAGAUUUGCUGAAGGACCACCCUCACCUAUUUUCUAGCCAACCCGAAUCUCGAGGGCGAGAUUCUUCUUAAGGGGGGUAGGUUUGUAACAUCCCAAAUUUUCAAUUUGGAAUGUUAUACACUAGAUCAUCAUUGCAUAUCAUAUUUAUUGCAUUUUGGUUGAUCCUAGAAAUUUUUCGCAACUCAAGGACCGUAGGAGAGAGUUGGGGAUUUCGUUAUUUUCAUAUUUGAGUUGUCUCAAAUUUUGAAAAUAGGAUCAUUCGAUUUUAUUUAUUUUAUCUUCAAUUAUUUCUAUUACAAAAAUAUGAGAGAGGGAAUAAAAUGACUUUCCCAAAAUAAAGAAAUAUUGAGGAUUUAAUAAAAAAUCAAAUAAGAUUUUAUUUGGUUUUAUUUGCUAUUUUAUUUGAAUUUAGGAAAAAACACGUUUUUCAAAAUUGCAUUUAGGCCCCAAAUAAAUGUUCAUCCUGUGCGGCUUGAUUUUAGAAGCCGGGGAAAAUUUAUUUCGGGAUUUUUGGAGUCCGUUUAGUAGUCCUUUUGUUUUUUUCCGAGCGUAAGUUUUAAAAAAAAAACGUCUGAACCGAUCUACGGGCCGUGCUAGGCCCGGACUCCCCCGGACCCAGCCUUUAUAAGCCGCUGGCCCACCCCGGGCUGAAACCCUAGCCGCCCCGCCUCGAACCCCGCGCCCGGCGCUGCCGCCCGCGCCCGGCGCCGCCCGCCGCCGCCNNNNNNNNNNNNNNNNNNNNNNNNNNNNNNNNNNNNNNNNNNNNNNNNNNNNNNNNNNNNNNNNNNNNNNNNNNNNNNNNNNNNNNNNNNNNNNNNNNNNNNNNNNNNNNNNNNNNNNNNNNNNNNNNNNNNNNNNNNNNNNNNNNNNNNNNNNNNNNNNNNNNNNNNNNNNNNNNNNNNNNNNNNNNNNNNNNNNNNNNNNNNNNNNNNNNNNNNNNNNNNNNNNNNNNNNNNNNNNNNNNNNNNNNNNNNNNNNNNNNNNNNNNNNNNNNNNNNNNNNNNNNNNNNNNNNNNNNNNNNNNNNNNNNNNNNNGCCUCGCCCGAGCCGCCGCCGCCGUCCCGCCGCCCGAGGUUUACCUCGAUCCCGCCGCCGGUUUUCUCGGAAAAACAGUUCGGUUUUCGUCGGUUUUUUGUUUCGUUUUUUCUUUAGAUCGGUUUUUUUCCUGGUUUAGGAUAAUUAGCGAGCGUUCGUUCGUUCGUUCGUUCGUUUUAACGAACGCGUUCUUCGUUUAGAUUCAGUUAACGAACGUUCGUUCGUUAAACUGUUCAUCGUUUUUCUUUUUCUCAGAUUUAAUCCGUGAUUUUCUGAUCGCGAUUUCUGAUCCGAUUUUCGUUUUAGUUUAUCUUUUCGCUCGUUUAUCGAAAUCAGGCGAUUCAAGCGCCUGGAGUUUCGUCUCGAUACCCUCUUUCCGUUUAACCAACUUAAACAAGUUUUUGCUUCUGUAAAAAUUGCCUUAGAUCCAGAAUAGUAAACGAAGCCUGUUUCUUUUGCCGUUUGUCUUUUGUUGCUUCGUUCGAUUCGAUUCUUUUUGCCAACCGGAGUUCUUAAGUUGAACUUUCUGGUUAAAUCUCUUAUUUGAGUUUUACCUGUGCAUUGGUUGAGUACUAAUUGUGUGCUUGUUUAUUUGCGAUAGAAUACCCGGAGUGCGCCGCUUGUUACUUCGAAUCGCUAGGUUUCCCGGAUCAUCAGCAAGGCAAGUAACACUUUGAUCAUACCUCCUACUACCCAGUUUUAUUGCAUUAGAUCAAUCCUUACACAUUGCAUGAUUAGGAUCUAAUUAAAUUGUGGGUUUGGGAAGUAGUUGAGGUAGUACCUUUUACCUGUCUAAUUAUCAAACCUUUGAGAGUUACUUCUACGUUUGCUUAUUAUUGCUAUGCUAUGCUAGUAGACGUGGAUUGGGUGAGUGUAUCCAUGACAGAUGUGAGCUUUGUUAAUUAAUGGUUACUUAAGGUGGCAACCUAAACACACAUCUGGGUGGAUUGAGGCAUCUGGGUAUUCCAGGAUUGCCUGUUUUCUUUUGGACCGCCACCUAGGCUCAAAGGGAUCAUGAGAUUAUUCAUGCUAGAAACUUCCAUGUGCAGCCACAAGCUAUUAUGGGCUCUAGCAUAGUUGACUAAGUCGUGCGAACUCUUACAGUGGUAGACUAGCAGAUGUAGGGGAUGUAGGUGGUACGGUCUACCCAUCGUAAGGUGCUAGCGCUUCUGAAAGACUAUGUCUCGGUCAUUCGUUUCUCAAACACCGUGUAGUGCGAGAAACCAAACGGAGGCGAUCGAGUCUUGUGGGGAAAAGUGCGCAAACCUCUGCAGAGUGUAUAAACUAAUCAUGGUUAGCCGUGUCCCCGGUUAUGGACAUCUUGAGUAUCUAGUACCUGGAUUAUCAUGUGAAUCUCAACAUGUUACUCUAAAGAUUAAUUUUGUUGGGUUUGUUUAAUGAUGAUGUUUAAUUGGGAUUGAGAAUGCUGUCAACCAUUCUCAAUGUUUAACAACCACCAUAAUAGUUAAAUAAAUUUAUUCCUUUGCAGUAGGGAAAAAUUGGCUUUACGCAAAACUGUAACCAUAGAGCUUUCCACCAGCCAAAUAUGCAUAUAGUAUAGCUGUUUCAUUCCAUUAUUCUCUAUGUGUUACAUUGCCAGUAUAUUCCAUGUGCUGACCCGUUUUCGGGCUGCAACGUUAAUGUUGGAGACUUUUCAGACAACGAUUAAGGAGUUUUAGGUCAUGGUUCUAUACUCAAUGAUGCCGUUGGAGUUGAUGGACUCACUUAUCUUCCAAGCCUUCCGCUGUUAUCGUUAUUAGAUGGCCUUAAGCCAUUUUUAUUGUAUUAAGUUAUCUUUGGAGACACUCGAUGUAAUAAGUGUGUGAUUGCUACUCUGCUAUAAAUCCUUCAAGUACUGUGUGGUGUCAGCAUUACUGAUCCAGGGAUGACACCGGAGCACAGAGAUUGGACCGUUUGAGGUCUGGUCGCUACAAAUAGCUUGACGUCGUGGCCAAUGACAAACAGGUUAGGCCAGUGCUGGGGUUGGGUACUAAGGAAGUAGCUGGAGCAACAAAAGGGAUGUUAGUCGCGAGUCUGACUGGGUCUAAUCUGCAAGGUAUAUGUAUUUGAUGUAAACUAAUUUCUAAUAAUGUAUUGUUUGAAGGUUGGAUGUAACGAAGGAUGGGGUGAGGUUGAUACUGAUGGCAAGGUUGUCACUAAAAAACCUGGUUGCGAGCUAUGUACUACUGAAGAUGAUGCAGUCUCUGGAAGUCCAAAAGGACAAAAUGUUGCCUGUUAUGAAAGUGAAGAUGAGAUUGACAACAUCUGGAGCAAGAAGAUUAAGACCGAGCCAAAUGUUUAACUUGCGUGCAAUGUAUUAGUAGGAAGUGUUACGUUCCUGUCGUUUCAGUUUGUGUAUCAGUUUGAAUUAAUGAGAAAAUUUGAAAAAAGUACCUGCAGUUAUUUUUAAUACUUGUUCGGGAAUGGACUGGGCUUGUAUGGGUGUCGGUGGCCGGCAUGCAGUAACUGGAGCGUAUCUAUAAAGAUACGAUACAGAGGUUUCUGAAAGCAUCCCUACAUGUAAGAGGUGGUGAGGCAUGCAUGUACAGUACACAUGCUGGCGUGGAGUUGAUAUGAGCCUUGAGUAAGCCUCUCCACACUUGCCAGCUAACCUAUGCAGGGGUGAAUGCUCCACAUUUAGUUAUUGGCGUGCACCGGGCUAGAGGCGUGUUUGUACCCACAGGGUAGUGCCAAAGAGAGCUGUAGUAGAGAGAAAGAGAUGAUGAUCUGCAUACUAUUGAUGGUGAGUUGACAUGUUGGAAAUAAAAAAACCAUUUUUACUUGGAAAAAACGCAAUGUGAAGCCGGUCCNNNNNNNNNNNNNNNNNNNNNNNNNNNNNNNNNNNNNNNNNNNNNNNNNNNNNNNNNNNNNNNNNNNNNNNNNNNNNNNNNNNNNNNNNNNNNNNNNNNNNNNNNNNNNNNNNNNNNNNNNNNNNNNNNNNNNNNNNNNNNNNNNNNNNNNNNNNNNNNNNNNNNNNNNNNNNNNNNNNNNNNNNNNNNNNNNNNNNNNNNNNNNNNNNNNNNNNNAAGGUGGCAAUUGGGUGGUAGAUGAGGGGGGGGGGGGGGGUUAAUUCAUCUGUGUCACUCUGCUCUCCUCGGCUCUCCUCUAGCUCGUCUCCUAUGAAAUAUGCUGUGAACCAGAGAGAGAGAGAGCAAACCGUGAAGAACAGACGGUCCGUCCAUGGAAGUAGAAGACCUAGAGGUAAUAUCCAAUAGAUUAAACUUUUAGUAACAAUUUUCUGGCUCUGGUUCUAUUUGGAUUAGGUUCUAUCUAUACCUAGAAAGCUCUUUGACCGGGCUGGGCCUAUGGACUGGUUCCUAUAGGUGUUGGUCAAAGCUUUGUUUUAUCUUUUAAUGGAUCUGGGUCUUUGUUUUUCUUCUAGUUGCUGGUUCAUAUGGUUUGCGUGCUGGAUGUACUGGUGGAGUUUGAUUUGGUGCUGGUACCUGAACCUAAUAUGGUGGACUUGAGUAUUAAGUUCCUAGGUGUAUAUGCACUUGGAUUCCUCCCAAGUCGACAUUUUUGGUUUCUGUACUAGUUGCUUUCGCAAAUAAAAAUGGGAGAUUUCUUCUUUUUGCUUGUACUUUAUUUCCAUAGAUGGUUGGGGGAGGGGGGAUGAUGUGAUUUGAUUCAAUCUAUCAUGUACAGUAACUGAAAACUUGGUACUAUAUUGACUAUGAACUUUAUUGCAGAUGUCAUCAGAAAGACGGAUUGGUAGUAGUAGUAGGGUGCCUAAGCAUAGGUUCUUGUCUGAUUGGGAAACUGGAUCUAGCAGCAUAUGUCUAGUUGCAGAGGUUUCUCCUACAAGGAGGUAUGAAGAUCUAGGGGUGGUUCCAGACUGGAAAAUUAACACUUGCUUCACUCCUAAAGUUCUGAAAGUUGCAAUGCAUGGUUGGGGGGAAGACAAGAAGGCAGCAGGCAGAUCUAUGGGGCUCGCUGGUGUUCUUGUCAUUGAUACGUUUCCAAAGAAACAUAAAGAGCAGGCCAUGCAGCUACUGAUGAGUGUGAUCCCUGAGCAAUCAUGUUUAUCAUUGGACACUUUAGGACUGAGAACAGUUGUUUUGAAUGCAGAUGUGUGUUGUAGGAUACUUGGAACCAGGAAAGGUGGUUCGAAUGAAAUACAAGGGUGCUCAGAGCCUGCUGAAGUAGAUGAUAUAAAGGCAGUUAGGAGGCUUCUGAAACUUCCUGAAACAUCUGUACCAAUAAAAGUGGAUGAACUUGUAAAGAUUCUGAUUAAGGAACAUACAUCAAGAAUGGAUGCAGAAGAAAGAAUCGGGUUUCAGAGGGCGUUUGCAAUGCUAUACGUGACAACAUUUGUAAGUCCUAGGGAACACCUAAAUCAAGCUACUCAUUCUGCUUGCCAAUUGGUGUUGGAGCAUGAAGAUUUGACAGAUUUGAACUGGGGCAAGUACACUGUUGAUGAAAUACUUGUUGGUGCGACUAAAGCCAGGGCAAGACAAUACAUGAAAACAUCGUGAGUAUAUGGUUGCCUAUUAGUACUCAUGGUGAGAUUAGCUUAUUCCUUAUAUAUUUGAACCAACCAGAAUUGCUAGACAUUGCAUACAUUAAUGUUUUUUGGUCUGAAUGCAGCUAUUGUUCUUCGACUCAGUCAACGUAGGUUUCAUAAAACUUAAUGACCAAGCGAAGCCAUGGAUCAAAUACUACAAUGCUAGCUUGCUAGAAGCACUUGUCAAUUAUAAUAGUUCAAAGGUGGAUGGUGUAACAACAUAUGGAACGUUGAAGGUAUUUUGAAAAUGGGUGAUAACUUAUAUGUAAUUGGGAUUAUGCUAUCGUUGUAAAAAAAAUGUUUAAAAUAGGUGUAUAUACAACUUAGUCGAGCAAUAUAGACCUAGAUAUAGACUCGGCAAAGAUUUAAAGUUCCCGUGGAAAGAAUGGCUUUGAUUUUGACAAGUAUAUAAGUUCUGUGCAACAGAAUACAAAUCGGUAUACUGCACGACAUUGAAUAAAAAAGACUUCCUAUUGUGAUACAAUAAAGAAAUCUGAUUAAUUUGGAUGAUAGAACAACAAUUAUUCUUUUGUUUAUUUCCUUAAAAGUAUAUUGCUUCCUUUGUAAGAAAAUAACACAAAAUAUGUGGGGUUGCAAUUCGUAGGAACUAUAUUAUUCCAGGGGUAUAUUAACAUGUAUAAAUCCUAUUAUACAAUGUCUAACUGUGAAACUAUUUUGUAUUCAGCCUAAGAAAAGCAUGCCAGACUUCAAUUACGAAGGAGAGGCUGAUAUUCUGGAAAUGACAAAAAAUGUAAGUAAUAAAAUAAUUGUCUUGAAAUAGAAUAACGCUAAGUAGAAAUGGUCUGAUUUUGAUGUUUACAUCUGUCAGGCGAUGCCAUUGUUCACUGCACAUGCGGAAAGAAUGACAUUGGAGGGUACAAACCAUAGCAUGAAUUUACACAAUAUGUUAGUGGCAGCAGGAGGGGCUAACACAAAUAUGGCCAGGAUGAUUAUGGAAAAUUAGUUACAUAAUGAGAAGAGUAGGGUUGUUGAAGAUUUCAGAAAGUUGUUUGAGUGCAUCAUAAACAUCAGACUGGAGAACAAGAAAAAUAACAUUACUUAUUUGAGGGGCAGUGGAAAUAUGUUGAUUGAAGGUAAAUAAAAAAAUAGAAUUACAGCUGCAUUAAAACGGACAUAAGUAAGUUGCAGAGUGUUUGACAGGUUUGAAGACAGAAAUCAUGCAGUUAUUGAAAGGGAUAGGUGCUUCAAAAGACAACAGUGUGGCAGGUAUGAAAAACUGCUUUCAACAAUUUGUUUACGCAACAACUAAUGUAUAGGGGGAUUAUUAGAGGGGUUUUAAUUCCUACAUCGAAAAAGUGUUGAGAUAAAUGAUAAAACAUAGUUUUGUGUUCUGGGACAACAUGAAUAAUUUAACAUUCAAACUUAUUCAUUUUAUUUUAUUCUAUGGCGGAAAGAGUCUGCUACUUUUCUGAAGGAAAGUAAAGGGAAGGAGAAAGUGGAUGAUGGCACUGGGAAAAGCUUACUUGGUAAGUUAUGUGAUGAUGAUAGACAGAUGAGUGGAAUGUAAUUCCAUUCAAAAGUUGAUGGGUGCAACUGAAUUAAUUUGAAAUACAUUGGGGGCGACAAGGGUGGUUUUUCCAAUUAUUGCAUGGGACCUCUAAAAAAAUUACCCAGUAACAAGUUGGGACUGGAUGAGUGGUAUGAAAGAAAAGGGGUAUUUGUUCCAAUGUCUGUGUUUGCGCAAGCAUAUUUAACACAAAGAAUAAAUGGUAAAUGUUUGCUAAACCAACACUUGUAGUUUAUAUGGUAGCACUAUGAAUUAUGCUUCAUAUAUAUAAUGUACUGACAUCUGAAUGCAACAGCUGAUAUACCAGAUUUGAACAUCCCAACAUAUGAUGAAGGACAGUUUGUAGCCCAGACAAAUGAGGUGGCGCUUAAUCAGAAGAAAAGGCAGGCUUCUGAUAUGACUAGAGUGGAGGAAAUAGUUUUCGAGCCAGCGAAAAGGAAAUGUGUAUAUGUGAGACAACGUAGGAAGAAAGUUGUUUUUGCAAUCUCUCCUUUUGCACUAGGGCAAUGCUACGAGGAGAUAAGGCACGCAGUGGCAAACGUGGGGUUGAGGAACAUGAAGCAAUCAUUCCUGGGAACGCGUCCUCGGUAAGCUUUCAGGAACUAAGUUUGAUUAUGUAACAUGUAUUAGAAAUUUGCGUGGGAGUUUGACUGACACUGGUGAAAACUAUGGUUGUAGCACUUGGUUCAAGCAUGAGGAGCCUGAUUUGCUGGAGAUGACUGGGGAUAAAUUUGUAGAUCGGUUUACUAGUCCAUGUGGACUGACUUAUAGAGGAUUUGCUGUGGUGAUUAGGAUGAUGUGGAUGGUUGAGCUGACUUGGAUGACACCUGCACAACGAAACCGUUGGAGGCACAUCUUGCUACCUCUUUGGGCGGUGAGUUAUUAAAAACUAUGGGGCAAAACAAAUUAGGAAGAGACGAUUCCUUGCUAAUAAUGACAAUUUCAUAUCUGUUUAGGAGCUUGUGGUGUAUGAUAAAAAUUAUCUUGCGCAUUCAAAGGUGAAAGAAAUGUUCACAAGUGAGGUUUGGGGGUAUGAUCUGCCGUGCUGCAGGAUGGUAAGUAAAUUGUUUGUACUUGCAAUCCAAAGUUUGUAGUCGUAAGAUUUGUUUUGAUAUGAAGUAAGUUGUGUGACCGGUUAUUUCAGAUAAUAGCGCCUAUAAGAGACAAAGAACAAUAACUGGACAUUGUAUGCUAUUGACAUGAGCGAAUGCAUUGUGCAUGUCCUUGAUCCAAGGAGUUCAUGCAUUGGAGAGGAACAACUGCUGGAAAACACAGUGGCAUUUGUGACAAGCUGAUUACUGGAUUAGCGAAGUGUGCAAGAGAGUUCUAUAAGGGCUGGGAAGUGGUCCCCGAGAAGUUAACAUACACCCGAAACUUCAUGGGCCAGCCAGCAUGUAAGUUAAUUGUUUACUACUAUUUUGUUAUGCUUAUAUGAAAACUUUCUGGUUAAUAACAACUAGUUUCGUUUACGCAGUGAAAAAUCUGCGUUCGACAUGGUGCACCAUUUCACAUACUUCGACGGGAAAUCACUAGUGAAAGGGAGAUCAAAAGCAAGUUCUUCCCCUACUUGCCUGUCUUUCAAAAAAAUAUUUUUUUAGAUAUGGUUGUUAUAUCAUAUUUAUAAUAAUUCCGGCUAGAAAUUUAAUAUAUCUAAUGUUUACUUCUUGUAGGAGUUGAAUAAACAACUGAAGGCCAAUGACCUGCAGAUGGUUCUAGGAAUGAAAGGGAACAAAGGAUACCCGCCAAAAGGCGUCCUUGCGCCUGAAGUCUAGAUUCCAAUGGAUUAGAGGAACAAGUAUGUAGAAGUGAUAUGUGUGUAUUAUUUUGCGUUUGAAUAUGUAUCAGGCUUCAUCAUGGUACUGAAAUAUGCUGACAUGUGGACAAACUGCAACAUGUAGACAUGGCUGCAUAUAUGGAGUGCUUAUCUGCGAGCUAAGAAAAAUUGAGUUGUACCAUCUAAGGAUGGGGGGUUUUGUUUGUUGGUAUGCUUCAGAAAUCUAAUAUUUAACAUGUUGCCCCUUGGGGCACGCAAAGUGUUUUAUGGUAAGCAUUCUUGAACAGAAAAUAGUCAAUUUUUGAGAGUAAAUGAAUGAGGAAAAAAUGAAGCAAUAUUGCCAGAAAUUUGUUAAAUCGUGGACUGGCAAUAGUAAGAAUUUUGCAAAGACAUGAACUGAAUAGUACAUAUAUUAUUCUGAUAAUAAACAUGAUUGACAUCUAGGGAUAAAGUUAGGGGACUCACAAGGGGCUGGAGGGGGUCUGCAAAUCUUAGCAAUCUUGAACCGAUGGGCAGAUCACUAGGCAUCUUGGAUGAGGAGGCCUGCGAUGCAAUAGGGGGAUUCGUUUAGGAAGGGGAAGAUGAGGCUGCUAAGUAACUGUUGUAUAUUGCAGGGGACAGGGGAAGGGGAGAAGAAAUGAAGAUCUGAGAGGAGAGGAGAAGUGAGGAGAAGUGCGCAAUGCCAGAUCUGUAAGGCCGAAGUGGUGGGAUGACUAGGGGGUAGGUGGUUUGAGUGGCUGGGAGUAGUAGCAUGGUGAGUGAGGUGAGGCUUUGGUGUUGGCUGCUGAUUGGUAGAACCAACUUUAGGUGCUAUGGUGGGGCAAACAAGGG
RNAcentral lists this long non-coding RNA (34441 nucleotides) under Triticum aestivum (bread wheat). RNAcentral's name for it is "long non-coding RNA (TAES_LNC026281)". The record is from RNAcentral. Lineage: Eukaryota; Viridiplantae; Streptophyta; Magnoliopsida; Poales; Poaceae.